GCCCCUGUAGCUCAGUCGGUUAGAGCAGCGGACUCAUAAUCCGUUUGUCGCAGGUUCAAGUCCUGCCGGGGGCA
Molecule: transfer RNA, 74 nt
Filed under: Candidatus Ancillula hodotermitis
Lineage: Bacteria; Bacillati; Actinomycetota; Actinomycetes; Bifidobacteriales; Bifidobacteriaceae
Description: tRNA-Ile
Rfam family: tRNA
About the family: Transfer RNA (tRNA) molecules are approximately 80 nucleotides in length. Their secondary structure includes four short double-helical elements and three loops (D, anti-codon, and T loops).
Source: RNAcentral